This 468-nucleotide ribosomal RNA is filed under the name uncultured bacterium. Its description in RNAcentral is "partial 16S ribosomal RNA". It matches the Rfam family "Bacterial small subunit ribosomal RNA", at positions 28 to 507 of the family's 1533-position model. The record is from RNAcentral.
GACGGACGCUGGCGGCGUGCUUAACACAUGCAAGUCGAACGGAAAGGCCCUGCUUUUGUGGGGUGCUCGAGUGGCGAACGGGUGAGUAACACGUGAGUAACCUGCCCUUGACUUUGGGAUAACUUCAGGAAACUGGGGCUAAUACCGGAUAGGAGCUCCUGCUGCAUGGUGGGGGUUGGAAAGUUUCGGCGGUUGGGGAUGGACUCGCGGCUUAUCAGCUUGUUGGUGGGGUAGUGGCUUACCAAGGCUUUGACGGGUAGCCGGCCUGAGAGGGUGACCGGCCACAUUGGGACUGAGAUACGGCCCAGACUCCUACGGGAGGCAGCAGGGGGGAAUAUUGCACAAUGGGCGGAAGCCUGAUGCAGCAACGCCGCGUGCGGGAUGACGGCCUUCGGGUUGUAAACCGCUUUCGCCUGUGACGAAGCGUGAGUGACGGUAAUGGGUAAAGAAGCACCGGCUAACUACGUG